AUGGAGCCCUUGUCGGGCGCCGCCGCCGCCGCCGCGGCUGCUGGUGGCGGUGGAGCAUCAAGGCCGCCGAGCUUCGCUUCGCAGACCAAUGCCCUCCUGCGCAAGAAUCUCAUCUUCCAGAAACGCAACAGGAAGGCAACCAUUCGGCUAAUCAUAGUUCCGAUAUACCUAUGUGUAUUACUCAGUGUCCUUCAACGAGUCAUCAACAAUUUAUUGGAUAAACCAAAAUACAAGUGUGGGUGCAUGUGUGUUGAUGUGAAUGGCACUGGUCCUUGUCAAAAUGUGUGUGGCAUUCAGUACUCUACAUUGGACCAGGCUGGCAGUUGCCCUAUACCAAAUCCUCCUGAAUGGCCUGCUCUCUUGCAAGUACCCCGCCCCGAGUAUCGUGCCAUCCAGGAUUCCUCUGAAUCAUGCAGAAAGUCACAAUCCUGCCCGGCCGCCAUACCGUUCACGGGGGCAAAUGAAACUCUAUCUACUACUGUCAUGCAGAACAUGUUCACAGACUUGCCACUUUUAAAUAUUUCUGAUAAUGCGAGCAUAUCUGGUCUUCUCCUGGGGACAGAUAUGCCAGGUACUUCUACAGGCUUCAUCGAACCUGCUUUUAUCUCGGAUCUACCCAUUUAUGUUCUUCAGUCGGAAUGCAAGUCCAGGGAUUCAGUUACACUCCGCACUACCAUUGAUGCUAUUAAUGUUCAGAAAGAAAUAAAAUGUGUUCAAGGUCUACCUUUGUGGCGGAAUAGUUCAAGAACAAUCAAUGAGGAGACCUUUAAGGGUUACCGGAAAGGAAAAAUAGGGAAAGGAAUUAGUGAAGUUGCAAUGGCUUAUGAUUUCCAAGACUCAAACGAGAAGCGUUUCAAUGUGCUUGCAUUGUAUAACUCGACUUAUCAGAAUAUCUCUUAUGUUCCAAUGCCAUUCGGACUUCUGCGUGUUUCACGUUCACUGAAUGCGGUUUCAAAUGCCUAUCUCCAAUUCCUACAAGGUCAAGGUUCAGGCAUAAAAAUGUUGCUUGAGUUUACAAAAGAAAUGCCAAAGCAAGCGACUCGUCUGACAAUUGAUUUUUCUUCUCUUAUUGGUCCUCUCUUUUUCGAAUGGGUUGUUGCGUUGCUUUUCCCGGUUAUGUUGACAUACCUUGUAUAUGAGAAACAACAUAAGCUCCGAACAAUGAUGAAAAUGCACGGGCUUGGAAAUGGCCCUUACUGGAUUAUCUACUACGCAUACUUCCUUAUCUUGUCUACGGUGUAUCUUGUGCUAUUUGUCAUUUUUGGAGCCCUUAUAGGUCUAAAUUUUUUUAAGACGAAUGACUACGGUAUCCAGUUUGUUUUCUUCUUCAGUUUCAUUAACUUGCAGAUUGUAUUAUCUUUCCUAGCUGCAACAUUCUUUUCGAAGGUUAAUACUGCUCAAGCAAUUGCAUAUCUGUACAUAUUUGGAUCAGGGUUAAUGGCAGGAUCUCUUAUUCGGAAUUUUCUUGAAGGUGGAAAAUUUCCAAGACACUGGAUUACAGUUCUGGAGAUAAUACCUGCAUUUUCUUUAUAUAGAGGAUUAUAUGAGCUUAGCCAAUAUGCUAUUAGGGCUUCAGAGACGGGAAAUCCUGGCAUACAAUGGAGUGAUCUAAAUGACCAUACAAAUGGAAUGAGGGAUGUGAUGAUCAUUAUUAUUGUUGAGUGGUUGGUUUUGCUUCCUGUUGCAUAUUAUUUUGACUAUGCUGCUUCAGUUGGAAACAGCUCUGGCCUCCUUUCCAUCAUCAAACGUCUCCUAAGAAAGAACCCCACUUGGAGAAGGAUAGCUGUUAACGAAGUUGCCGACAAUGAUGUUCAUGUGGAAAUGGAGAAGUUAGACAUUAUUAAAGAAAGGGAGACUGUUGAUCAAGUACUACAGCAGCGGAACAGUGGCUACGCUGUUGUCUGUGACGAUCUCAAGAAAGUAUAUCAUGGAAAGGAUGGUAACCCUGAUAAGUAUGCUGUUCGAGGUCUAUCACUUGCUUUGCCGUACGGAGAGUGUUUGGGCAUUCUUGGUCCUAAUGGAGCUGGCAAGAGCUCUUUUAUUAGCAUGAUGAUUGGGUUUUCAAAGCCAACAUCGGGGAAUGCAUUUGUACAGGAUUUCAGCAUACAUACUGACAUGGAAAACAUAUACAACAGCAUGGGGGUUUGCCCGCAGAAUGAUAUGCUUUGGGAGAUGCUGACUGGCAGAGAACAUCUCCAGUUUUAUGGUCGACUGAAGAGCCUCAGUGGCUCUGCUUUGGACCUUGCCGUUGAAGAAUCUUUAAGAAGUGUAAAUUUACUCCUUGGUGGUGCUGCUGACAAGCAAGUCAGGAAGUACAGCGGUGGCAUGAAGAGGCGUCUUAGCAUCGCCAUCUCGCUGAUUGGAGAUGCAAAAGUAGUGUACAUGGACGAGCCCAGCACUGGAUUGGAUCCAGCUUCGAGGAAGAGUCUCUGGACUGCUGUGAAGCAAGCAAAGCAAGAUAGAGCUAUCAUUCUUACGACCCAUUCCAUGGAAGAAGCCGAAGUUCUCUGCGAUCGGUUGUGUAUCAUGGUAGAUGGCAGGCUCCAGUGCAUAGGAAGGCCUAAAGAGCUCAUAGCUAGAUAUGGAGGCUAUUAUGUGCUGACGAUGACGACAUCGUCGGAGUUCGAGCGCGAGGUAGAGGAUUUGGCUCUGAAGCUCUUGCCGAACGCGAGGAAGGUGUAUCAUCUGUCAGGAACACAGAAAUACGAGCUGUCGAAGCAACAAGUCAGGAUUGCGGAUGUUUUCAUGGCCGUGGAGAAUCUGAAGAGGAGGGUGGAAGUGCAAGCAUGGGGCCUCGCGGACACCACCAUGGAGGACGUGUUCGUCAAGGUCGCCACAGGGGCGCAGUCAAGUGACGAACUCUCUUAG
This 2868-nucleotide ribosomal RNA is filed under the name Triticum aestivum (bread wheat). Its description in RNAcentral is "partial small subunit ribosomal RNA". Lineage: Eukaryota; Viridiplantae; Streptophyta; Magnoliopsida; Poales; Poaceae. The record is from RNAcentral.